Molecule: long non-coding RNA, 225 nt
Filed under: Mytilus galloprovincialis (Mediterranean mussel)
Lineage: Eukaryota; Metazoa; Mollusca; Bivalvia; Mytilida; Mytilidae
Source: RNAcentral
GGUUAAUAAGACUGUAAAAAAAUGAUUGGUGAAGAAAAAAACAUAUGGUGGUGCACUUCUUUUUUUGCUACGGCCCUUUGAAAAUGCCCAAUUUUGAUGAUUUUCGCAUUUUUCAUCGAUUUUUACCUAUUUUUGGGCUAUUAUCGUAAAAAAAAAUCACAGUUCCACAAUUAAACUUUUUUUCAUACUUUCUAUAAAGAUGAAGUGGACCAAUCUGAAUAAAAU